This 1169-nucleotide long non-coding RNA is filed under the name Marmota monax (woodchuck). The record is from RNAcentral. Lineage: Eukaryota; Metazoa; Chordata; Mammalia; Rodentia; Sciuridae.
CCAUUUUCCCUUCUGCAAGAGACGCCCAGACGCUGAUGCCAGCCCCUUCGUUACCAGAUCAGACCUCCAGCCACCGGGAAGCCACCUUGACGUGAGCACACUGUCCCAGCGUGUCCCUACAUCUGAAGUGCCCACACCGUCCAACAGCAGCAACUUCAAUAUUCAACUGUGAGGAAGAGUGGUGGCCUGUGGGCCGGUGGCCGUUGUUGCUGCUGUUGUUGGCCAUCCGUCCUUAUCAACGUCCGACCUCCUUCUUCCUGACCUCUGGGGGUUUCCUUCACAGGCAUGUGUGCCCAGCGCCCACCUGCUGUGUUCCCCAGCAGUGACCCUGUGACACGGAGCUGCCCUCCUCCCCCUGGCCGGCACCGUGUGGCUCUGUCUCCGCGGCAGAACGUCCAGCCAUCAGCUCCCACCGUAUCUCCGUUAUCUCUUUGGGAAGGGGUCCUGGAGGUGACAGAGCAGAGUUGAAGGCCGUGGGCACUCAGGGUUCUCGAUGUGCUUCUGUGGCACUUAUGUCCCCAGGAGACAUAAAGCACCUUCACCCAGGCAGCCUUCAAAGGUCAAAGUCCAGUGGAAGUGACCCUGGGUCCCGCCCUGAGCUGGAAGAAACCGAACAGACCGUCCUGGGAAAAGGACUUCAUGGGGACACUUUUAAAAACUUAUCACAAUUCUUUGGGGACAGUUGCUUUAUGAAUGAGAGUAAUAUUCAAUCAAGUAUUUUUGGAAAAUGAGGAGAAAACAUUUCUGGUAAUUAAGAACAAACCUAAAACACAGAGGAGGGUGAUGCGGUGACGGCUCAUGUAAGGGUGGCCACAGCGGCUCCAACCAUCGAGCCUCGGCAGGCAGCCAAGGGAGUGAGCAGAGAAAACCAGGGACCCGGCUCUCGGGAGUGCGCUUGCGCCUGGGGAGUCUGGCUGGAGGCGGGUUGGCCUCAGCGGGUCUGGCGAGGGCUGAAGUCGGCCAGCAUGGCCAGCACCCAGGGAGGUCAAGACGCUGGUCCACAGAGCACAGAGUGGCCAGGACUUAGAACAGAAUGACAGGACUUUCCGGUGCUCUUCGGUGACUUCCCAAAGAGUUGAGAGGGAUCUAGAACCACCGAGCCUAGCUUUUCCUGUACUUUAGCAGCAGCAGGGGAGAUUAAAUAAAUAACAUGAAGAAAAAAAAAAAAA